CAAACUCUAGCUCUGUCGCCCAGGCUGGAGUGCAGUGGCAAAUCUUGGCUCACUGCAACCUCCACCUCCCAGGUUCAAAUGAUUCUCCCACCUCAGCCUCCCACGUAGCUGGGAUUACAGGCGUGCGCCACCAUGCCAGGCUAAUUUUUUGUAUUUUUAGUAGAGACGGGGUUUCACCAUGUUGCCCAGGCUGGUCUUCAACUCCUGACCUCAGGUGAUCUGCCUGCUUUGGCCUCCCAAAGUGCUAGGAUUACAGGCUUGAGCCACCGUACCCAGCUCUGGAACAAAAUUUUAAACAGUGGCAAGACAGAACUGCUAACAAGAAGGGUCUGAUUUACAAUUCAUUAGUUUCUUUGCUUCAAGAAUGAAGCCUCCUGUCCUAACCAUCCUUAACCCCAAAGCAGGCUACCUUCUCCACAGCUUCUCAGCUGGGGGAUAAUGUAAGUUACCUCUAUGCACAAACAAGUGUAUCUCUGUCAGGAUAUCAUGCAGUGCCAACCCCUUCAGAGUUUUCAACUCUGUAAUAUCUAGAGGAGCAGUUAAGGCAAAGGGAACAAGUUCCAGAACAAACAUACUGCAGAGAAUUUUGAAUCCAAACCCGGGCAAGAGACUUUUUAAAGUAAGGCUUUUAAUCCCAACACAACUGUUUCUCUUUCAACUUGAAGCUGCACGUGUUGGACUCCAAUUCUUUAUUUUUCUUUGUUUCAUCUUCAGUAAGGGC
RNAcentral lists this long non-coding RNA (721 nucleotides) under Homo sapiens (human). Its description in RNAcentral is "LHRI_LNC1998.1". Lineage: Eukaryota; Metazoa; Chordata; Mammalia; Primates; Hominidae. The record is from RNAcentral.